This 305-nucleotide ribosomal RNA is filed under the name uncultured bacterium. RNAcentral's name for it is "bacterial SSU rRNA". It matches the Rfam family "Bacterial small subunit ribosomal RNA", at positions 335 to 638 of the family's 1533-position model. The record is from RNAcentral.
AUCCUACGGGAGGCAGCAGUGAGGAAUAUUGGUCAAUGGCCGAAGGGCUGAACCAGCCAAGCCGCGUGAAGGAAUAAGGCCCUACGGGUCGUAAACUUCUUUAGUCAGGGAACAAAGGGUGCCACGUGUGGCGCUGUGAGUGUACCUGAAGAAUAAGCAUCGGCUAACUCCGUGCCAGCAGCCGCGGUAAUACGGAGGAUGCGAGCGUUAUCCGGAUUUAUUGGGUUUAAAGGGUGCGUAGGCGGUCGGAUAAGUUAGAGGUGAAAUCCCGAGGCUCAACUUCGGAAUUGCCUCUGAUACUGUUC